CCCGCUGCCAAGAAGGUCAGUAGAGAAAAGAUUUUGCCACGUUGGCUAGGCUGCUCUGGAACUCUUGACCUCAGGUGAUCUGCCUGCCACCCAACCUACUGGGAUUACAGUAGCCAGUCCUGCCAGGGUUCUGGCUGUGCCGGGACAGUGAAUGGCCACUCCGUCCCAGAUGAGCUGCAGGAAGCGUUUCGAUGUCAUGUGGAGGCCUGCGCAGAGUGGGAGCCAGACUUUGGGGUCCAGGUCAAGGCCAGAGGGUGAAGGGGACAUGAUUCAGCGCUGUGGGCCUGCGGACG
This 293-nucleotide long non-coding RNA is filed under the name Homo sapiens (human). RNAcentral's name for it is "HSALNT0135500". Lineage: Eukaryota; Metazoa; Chordata; Mammalia; Primates; Hominidae. The record is from RNAcentral.